GAUGAACGCUGGCGGCGUGCCUAAUACAUGCAAGUCGAGCGAACGGACGAGAAGCUUGCUUCUCUGAUGUUAGCGGCGGACGGGUGAGUAACACGUGGAUAACCUACCUAUAAGACUGGGAUAACUUCGGGAAACCGGAGCUAAUACCGGAUAAUAUUUUGAACCGCAUGGUUCAAAAGUGAAAGAUGGUCUUGCUGUCACUUAUAGAUGGAUCCGCGCUGCAUUAGCUAGUUGGUAAGGUAACGGCUUACCAAGGCAACGAUGCAUAGCCGACCUGAGAGGGUGAUCGGCCACACUGGAACUGAGACACGGUCCAGACUCCUACGGGAGGCAGCAGUAGGGAAUCUUCCGCAAUGGGCGAAAGCCUGACGGAGCAACGCCGCGUGAGUGAUGAAGGUCUUCGGAUCGUAAAACUCUGUUAUUAGGGAAGAACAUAUGUGUAAGUAACUGUGCACAUCUUGACGGUACCUAAUCAGAAAGCCACGGCUAACUACGUGC
Molecule: ribosomal RNA, 498 nt
Filed under: uncultured bacterium
Lineage: Bacteria
Description: partial 16S ribosomal RNA
Rfam family: Bacterial small subunit ribosomal RNA
Source: RNAcentral